This 465-nucleotide ribosomal RNA is filed under the name uncultured bacterium. RNAcentral's name for it is "bacterial SSU rRNA". It matches the Rfam family "Bacterial small subunit ribosomal RNA", at positions 331 to 793 of the family's 1533-position model. The record is from RNAcentral.
CCAGACUCCUACGGGAGGCAGCAGUGAGGAAUAUUGGUCAAUGGGCGCGAGCCUGAACCAGCCAAGUCGCGUGAGGGAUGACGGUCCUACGGAUUGUGAACCUCUUUUGCCGGGGAGCAAGCGUGCGUUCGUGAACGCGCGUCGAGAGUACCCGGAGAAAAAGCAUCGGCUAACUCCGUGCCAGCAGCCGCGGUAAUACGGAGGAUGCGAGCGUUAUCCGGAUUUAUUGGGUUUAAAGGGUGCGUAGGCGGAACAUUAAGUCAGCGGUAAAAUCGAGGGGCUCAACCCCUUUAAGCCGUUGAAACUGGUGAUCUUGAGUGGGCGAGAAGUAUGCGGAAUGCGUGGUGUAGCGGUGAAAUGCAUAGAUAUCACGCAGAACUCCGAUUGCGAAGGCAGCAUACCGGCGCCCGACUGACGCUGAGGCACGAAAGCGUGGGGAUCGAACAGGAUUAGAUACCCCCGUAA